GCCCUCGUGAUGGAAUGGUAGACAUAACAGACUUAAAAUCUGUGGGCUUUUAAACGCCGUGGCGGUUCAAGUCCGCCCGAGGGCACCA
This 88-nucleotide transfer RNA is filed under the name Alphaproteobacteria bacterium. RNAcentral's name for it is "tRNA-Leu". It matches the Rfam family "tRNA". Rfam says of the family: Transfer RNA (tRNA) molecules are approximately 80 nucleotides in length. The record is from RNAcentral. Lineage: Bacteria; Pseudomonadati; Pseudomonadota; Alphaproteobacteria.